CGACGUUGGAACAGCGGUUAGGAGCUUACACCCACCCGUGUUUACAUACUAUUGUUGCUUUGGCGGGCCGUGGCCUCCACUGCGGGCUCUGCUCGUGUGUGCCCGCCAGAGAACCAAACUCUGAAUGUUAGUGAUGUCUGAGUACUAUCUAAUAGUUAAAACUUUCAACAACGGAUCUCUUGGUUCUGGCAUCGAUGAAGAACGCAGCGAAAUGCGAUAAGUAAUGUGAAUUGCAGAAUUCAGUGAAUCAUCGAAUCUUUGAACGCACAUUGCGCCCUGUGGUAUUCCGCAGGGCAUGCCUGUUCGAGCGUCAUUUAACCACUCACGCCUAGCGUGGUAUUGGGGCACGCGGUCUCCGCGGCCCUCAAAAUUAGUGGCGGCGCCGGUGGGCUCUAAGCGUAGUACAUACUCCCGCUAUAGAGUUCCCCCGGUGGCUCGCCAGAACCCCCAAUUUUUACAGGUUGACCUCGGAUCAGGUAGGGAUACCCGCUGAACUUAAGCAUAUCAAUAAGCGGAGGAA
Molecule: ribosomal RNA, 520 nt
Filed under: Phytophthora sp. CJL-2014
Lineage: Eukaryota; Oomycota; Peronosporomycetes; Peronosporales; Peronosporaceae
Description: eukaryotic LSU rRNA
Rfam family: 5.8S ribosomal RNA (bases 160-313)
Source: RNAcentral